CCUACGGGGGGCAGCAGUGGGGAAUAUUGGGCAAUGGGCGCAAGCCUGACCCAGUAACGCCGCGUGAAGGAAGAAGGCUUUCGGGUUGUAAACUUCUUUUGUCAGGGAAGAGUAGAAGACGGUACCUGACGAAUAAGCCACGGCUAACUACGUGCCAGCAGCCGCGGUAAUACGUAGGUGGCAAGCGUUGUCCGGAUGUACUGGGUGUAAAGGGCGUGUAGCCGGGUUGACAAGUCAGAUGUGAAAUCCUGCGGCUUAACCGAAGAACUGCAUUUGAAACUGUUGAUCUUGAGUACUGGAGAGGCAGACGGAAUUCCUAGUGUAGCGGUGAAAUGCGUAGAUAUUAGGAGGAACACCAGUGGCGAAGGCGGUCUGCUGGACAGCAACUGACGGUGAGGCGCGAAAGCGUGGGGAGCAAACAGGAUUAGAUACCCGAGUAGUC
RNAcentral lists this ribosomal RNA (442 nucleotides) under uncultured bacterium. Its description in RNAcentral is "partial 16S ribosomal RNA". It matches the Rfam family "Bacterial small subunit ribosomal RNA", at positions 338 to 795 of the family's 1533-position model. The record is from RNAcentral.